Small nuclear RNA from Callithrix jacchus (white-tufted-ear marmoset), 138 nucleotides. Its record names the gene U4. It matches the Rfam family "U4 spliceosomal RNA". From Rfam's summary of the family: U4 small nuclear RNA (U4 snRNA) is a component of the major U2-dependent spliceosome. The structure of U4 snRNA from yeast and human has been reported. The record is from Ensembl. NCBI's taxonomy places the organism in Eukaryota, Metazoa, Chordata, Mammalia, Primates, Cebidae.
AGCUUUGCACAGUGGCAGUAUCAUAGCCAGUGAGGUUUAUCCAAGGCAUGAUUAUCACUAAUUGAAAAAAUUUUCAAAUACACCACCAUGAGACUUGAAAUAUAGUCGGAGUUGGCAAUUUUUGGCAGUCUGUACAGA